CCUACGUGUGGCAGCAGUAGGGAAUAUUGCUCAAUGGGGGAAACCCUGAAGCAGCAACGCCGCGUGGAGGAUGAAGGUUUUCGGAUUGUAAACUCCUUUUGUUAGAGAAGAUAAUUACGGUAUCUACAGACUACUCACCGGCUACCUCCGUGCCAGCCGCCGCGGUCAUACGGAGGGUGCAAGCGUUACUCGGAAUCACUGGACUUAAAGUGCGCGUAGGCGGGAUAGCAAGUCAGAUGUGAAAUCCUAUGGCUUAACCAUAGAACUGCAUUUGAAAUUGUUAUUCUAGAGUAUGGGAGAGGUAGGUGGAAUUCUUGGUGUAGGGGUAAAAUCCGUAGAGAUCAAGAGGAAUACUCAUUGCGAAGGCGACCUGCUAGAACAUAACUGACGCUGAUGCGCGAAAGCGUGGGGAGCAAACAGGAUUAGAUACCCGGGUAGUC
This 440-nucleotide ribosomal RNA is filed under the name uncultured bacterium. RNAcentral's name for it is "partial 16S ribosomal RNA". It matches the Rfam family "Bacterial small subunit ribosomal RNA", at positions 338 to 795 of the family's 1533-position model. The record is from RNAcentral.